This 482-nucleotide long non-coding RNA is filed under the name Homo sapiens (human). RNAcentral describes it as "HSALNT0317038". The record is from RNAcentral. Lineage: Eukaryota; Metazoa; Chordata; Mammalia; Primates; Hominidae.
CCGGCGCCGGUCACGGACUGGGAAGGCAGCCUUCCCUUGGUGUUUAAUCAUUGCAGGGACGCCUCUCUGAUUAUUCACCCAGGUUUUAGAGGUGUCAGACCACGCAGGGACGCCUGCCUUAGUCCUUCACCCUUAGCGGCAAGAAUAUCAGGCCUGUGAGCCCAAGCUAAGCCAUCAUAUCCCCUGUGACCUGCACGUACACAUCCAGAUGGCCGGUUCCUGCCUUAACUGAUGACAUUCCACCACAAAAGAAGUGAAAAUGGCCUGUUCCUCCCUUAACUGAUGACAUUGUCUUGUGAAAUUCCUUCUCCUGGCCCAUCCUGGCUCAAAAGCUCCCCCACUGAAUACCUUGUGACCCCCACUCCUGCCCACCAGAGAACAAUCCCCUUUGACUGUAAUUUUCCUUUAUCUACCCAAAUCCCAUAAAACAGCCCCACCCCUAUCUCCCUUUGCUGACUCUCUUUUCGGACUCAGCCCGCCUG